Uranotaenia lowii is the source of this 825-nucleotide long non-coding RNA. RefSeq lists it as uncharacterized. The record is from RefSeq and is a predicted model, not a curated record. The transcript is spliced from 4 exons. NCBI's taxonomy places the organism in Eukaryota, Metazoa, Arthropoda, Insecta, Diptera, Culicidae.
CGACAUUUUGUUUCUCAUUUUUAGACGCAUCGUGUGUGAAACUUUUUCUGCGCAGCUAGACACCGUUCUCCAUAACUUAAAUAUAGUUUGCCACAUAUCCCCGACAAUAGAGCGAGUCAGUGAAAAAAUCCACAAACCGAACGCCAGUUUAUCAGGAAGAAAUAAGCGAAGAUGGCAGUAAAACGAAAUCCGGAAUCUGAUGGUCACCAUCAACGAAGCAGCGGUGUAUAUUUUCGAGUGCUGCUUCCUUCGUUAAAAAAUAUUCAUUAUUUCCAAAUUUCCAAAAAUCCAGUGUAUACUGGACCCGUAUCUGCUUUCCCGUAUUAUUCGAAUUCUCGUAGCGAAGUCUUAAAUAAUUCCGAUUAAUUGCGAAGAAGCAACAGAAGUGUUCAAUGAAAUAUAAAAAAAAUAUUCCGGAACCUACGAGUCACGUCGAAACAAAACCAAUAAUGGAUGAAUCGUUCCUAGUGGUAGUAGCAUUUUUUGGAAUCUUAAUCAGCCACAGCCUGGGCCCAUCAAUCGGGAAGUUUGAAAAGUCGCUCGGACUUGUGCGAGCAUUAUACAUAGGAAUGGUGUAUUGAAACGCAUUUCGAAUCAAUCCGCCCGGAAAAGUAACCGUACAGACCGACAACAUGAGUGGGCAGUAUCGGAAUGAUACUAAAAUACACAGCACAAAGUUACGAGCUGCAACGAAAUACUGAACUGUUUCAUCAGUUAAGCGACGGGCGACUGUCCGGACAGGAAAGGUAGUUUUUAAAAUAGAGGUUUGAUUAUGAACAGGUUGCAACAUUAAAAUCAGACAAAAAAAAUCCAGAGAACCGUGUG